CAGAGAUGAGAAUGUGCCUUCGGGAACCGUGAGACAGGUGCUGCAUGGCUGUCGUCAGCUCGUGUUGUGAAAUGUGGUUAAGUCCCGCAACGAGCGCAACCCUUAUCCUUGUUGCCAGCGGUCCGGCCGGGAAACUCAAAGGGAGACUGCCAGUGAUAAACUGGAGGAAGGUGGGGAUGACGUCAAGUCAUCAUGGCCCUUACGACCAGGGCUACACACGUGCUACAAUGGCGCAUACAAAGAGAAGCGACCUCGCGAGAGCAAGCGGACCUCAUAAAGUGCGUCGUAGUCCGGAUUGGAGUCUGCAACUCGACUCCAUGAAGUCGGAAUCGCUAGUAAUCGUGGAUCAGAAUGCCACGGUGAAUACGUUCCCGGGCCUU
This 380-nucleotide ribosomal RNA is filed under the name uncultured Enterobacteriaceae bacterium. RNAcentral describes it as "bacterial SSU rRNA". It matches the Rfam family "Bacterial small subunit ribosomal RNA", at positions 1001 to 1382 of the family's 1533-position model. The record is from RNAcentral. Lineage: Bacteria; Pseudomonadati; Pseudomonadota; Gammaproteobacteria; Enterobacterales; Enterobacteriaceae.